UCAAUUAAAGUUCCACGUGAUCCAUGGGU
RNAcentral lists this small RNA (29 nucleotides) under Bombyx mori (domestic silkworm). RNAcentral describes it as "ovarian small RNA-24901". Lineage: Eukaryota; Metazoa; Arthropoda; Insecta; Lepidoptera; Bombycidae. The record is from RNAcentral.